AGCGAGGUUAAGGACUUCAGGUCCGGAGCCGGAGCGAAAGCGAGUCUGAAUAGGGCGCAUAGUUAGUAGGAUUAGACGCGAAACCUUGUGAUCUACCCAUGGGCAGGUUGAAGCUUUGGUAACACAAAGUGGAGGACCGAACCGGUUGACGUUGAAAAGUCUUCGGAUGACCUGUGGGUAGGGGUGAAAGGCCAAUCAAACUGGGAGAUAGCUCGUACUCUCCGAAAUGCAUUUAGGUGCAGCGUCGCAUAUAAGUUUAUUAGAGGUAGAGCUACUGAUUGGAUGCGGGGGUUUCACCGCCUACCAAUUCCUGACAAACUCCGAAUGCUAAUAAAUGUUCUACGGCAGUGAGGGCAUGGGUGCUAAGGUCCAUGUCCGAGAGGGAAAGAACCCAGACCAACAGCUAAGGUCCCCAAAUUUCUGUUAAGUUGAAGCAACGCGGUUGGACUGCAUUGACAGCUAGGAUGUUGGCUUGGAAGCAGCCAUUCAUUUAAAGAGUGCGUAACAGCUCACUAGUCGAGCGGUCCGGCAUGGAUAAUAAUCGGGCAUAAACAGAAUACCGAAGCUAUGGAUUUGUAAUUUAUUACAUCUGGUAGGAGAGCAUUCUAUCGGCGUAGAAGCUGAGUCGUGAGGCUUGGUGGAGCUUAUAGAAAAGAAAAUGUAGGCAUAAGUAACGAUAAAGGGGGCGAGAAACCCCCUCACCGAAAGACUAAGGUUUCCUCAGCCAUGCUAAUCAGCUGAGGGUUAGUCGGGACCUAACGCGAACCCGAAAGGGGUAGUGGAUGGACAAUGGGUUAAUAUUCCCAUACUUGCUCACACUAAAAAGGGGACGGUUCGAUGUAGCUAUUGAAGACGGACGGAAGUGUCAAGGCCUAGCCUUCGGGCGAAGCUGUUAUAGUGUAAUCGGAUCCAAGAAAAGCCGAAGUGAAGCAACCCGUACCAAAACCGACACAGGUGGUCGAGGAGAGAAUCCUAAGGUGCUCGAGUGAGUCGUGGCUAAGGAACUAGGCAAAAUAGUCUCGUAACUUCGGAAGAAGAGACGCCAGCAGCAAUGCUGGCCGCAGUGAAGAGGCCCAGGCGACUGUUUAUCAAAAAACACAGGACUCUGCUAAAUCGAAAGAUGCUGUAUAGGGUCUGACACCUGCCCGGUGCUGGAAGGUUAAGGAAGGGCGUUAGCGUAAGCGAAGCGUUUGACUGAAGCCCCAGUAAACGGCGGCCGUAACUAUAACGGUCCUAAGGUAGCGAAAUUCCUUGUCGGGUAAGUUCCGACCUGCACGAAUGGUGUAACGAU
RNAcentral lists this non-coding RNA (1291 nucleotides) under Corchorus olitorius. RNAcentral's name for it is "Bacterial large subunit ribosomal RNA". It matches the Rfam family "Bacterial large subunit ribosomal RNA", at positions 639 to 2008 of the family's 2925-position model. Lineage: Eukaryota; Viridiplantae; Streptophyta; Magnoliopsida; Malvales; Malvaceae. The record is from Rfam by way of RNAcentral.